GUUAUGCUCCAUACCACCCUGAACGCGCCCCAUCUCGUCUGAUCUCGGAAGCUAAGCAGGGUCGGGCCUGGUUAGUACUUGGAUGGGAGACAGAUAGAAUCUUAAGCAGACUCUAUGC
This 118-nucleotide ribosomal RNA is filed under the name Neogale vison (American mink). The record is from RNAcentral. Lineage: Eukaryota; Metazoa; Chordata; Mammalia; Carnivora; Mustelidae.